AUUGAACGAUGGCGGCAGGCCUAACACAUGCAAGUCGAGCGAGCGGCGGACGGGGGAGUAAUGUAUGGGGACUGCCCGAUAGAGGGGGAUAACUACUGGAAACGGUAGCUAAUACCGCAUACUAUCGGAUAACCCAUAUGGGAUUAGCUAGUAGGUGGGGUAAUGGCUCACCUAGGCGACAAGCCCUAGCUGGGCUGAGAGGGUGAUCAGCCACACUGUGACUGAGACACGGCCCAGACUCCUACGGAGGCAGCAGUGGGGAAUAUUGCAAAAUGGGCGCAAGCCUGAUUCAGCCAUGCCGCGUGUAUGAAGAAGGCCCUAGUGUUGUAAAGUACUUUCAGUCGGGAGGCGUUACCGACAGAAGAAGCACCGGCUAACUCCGUGCCAGCCGCCGCGGUAAUAC
RNAcentral lists this ribosomal RNA (403 nucleotides) under uncultured bacterium. RNAcentral describes it as "partial 16S ribosomal RNA". It matches the Rfam family "Bacterial small subunit ribosomal RNA", at positions 30 to 526 of the family's 1533-position model. The record is from RNAcentral.